RNAcentral lists this ribosomal RNA (472 nucleotides) under uncultured bacterium. RNAcentral's name for it is "bacterial SSU rRNA". It matches the Rfam family "Bacterial small subunit ribosomal RNA", at positions 335 to 799 of the family's 1533-position model. The record is from RNAcentral.
ACUCCUACGGGAGGCAGCAGUGAGGAAUAUUGGACAAUGGGCGGGAGCCUGAUCCAGCCAUGCCGCGUGCAGGAAGACUGCCCUAUGGGUUGUAAAAUGCUUUGUAUCAGGAAGAACAGACAUCCCUCGUCGAGGGAGGCUUUGACGGUACUGUAAGAAUAAGGAUCGGCUAACUCCGUGCCAGCAGCCGCGGUAAUACGGAGGAUCCAAGCGUUAUCCGGAAUCAUUGGGUUUAAAGGGUCCGUAGGUGGAUGAUUAAGUCAGAGGUGAAAUCCUGCAGCUCAACUGUAGAAUUGCCUUUGAUACUGGUUGUCUUGAAUUAUUGUGAAGUAGUUAGAAUAUGUGGUGUAGCGGUGAAAUGCAUAGAUAUCACAUAGAAUACCGAUUGCGAAGGCAGAUUACUAACAAUACAUUGACACUGAUGGACGAAAGCGUGGGGAGCGAACAGGAUUAGAUACCCUGGUAGGCUCUG